CGAUAUUUUCCAGCUUGUGGGGCGAAAAAGUGGCGCACGGGUGCGUAACGCGUAUGCCCCCUACCUUACUCGGGGGGAUAGCCCGAAAAAUUUCAGAUUAACCCCGUAUAAUAUCACCGCACAGCUUUGUGUAGUGAUCAAAUAUUUAUGAGAUUAAUAUGGGCGUGCGUGACUUUAUUUAUUUGGCGGGGUAACGGCCCCCCAACACCACGAUGUCUGGGGGAUCUGAGAGGAUGACCCCCCACACUGGUACUGACACACGGACCACACUCCUAGGGGAGGCAGCAGUAGAGAAUAUUGGUCAGUGGAGGCAACUCUGAACCAGCCGUGCCGCGUGCGAGAAGACUGCCCUCUGGGUCGUAAACUGCUUUUAUUCGGGAAUAAACCUCUUUAUGUAUAGAGAGCUGAAUGUACCGAAAGAAUGGAGAUCGGCUAACUCCGUGCCAGCACCCGCGGUAAUACAGAAGAUCCAAGCGUUAUCCGGAUUUAUUGGUUUUAAGGGGUGCGUACGCGGUUUUUUAACUCAGGGGUGAAACACGGUAUCACAACUAUCACAGUGCCCUUGAUACUGAAGAUCUUGAGUGGACUAGAUGUACGCGGAGUGUGACGAGUAGCGGAGAAAUGCAUAUAUAUGUCACA
RNAcentral lists this ribosomal RNA (639 nucleotides) under Pedobacter sp. Its description in RNAcentral is "bacterial SSU rRNA". It matches the Rfam family "Bacterial small subunit ribosomal RNA", at positions 67 to 703 of the family's 1533-position model. The record is from RNAcentral. Lineage: Bacteria; Pseudomonadati; Bacteroidota; Sphingobacteriia; Sphingobacteriales; Sphingobacteriaceae.